CUGGAAGACUCCGUUCGGGCCCCUAUGGGAGCCGGGCUUCGUCUUCGACUUCGACUACUGGUAAACGUCGUCCGGACUCCUACGGGAGCCAGACUUCACCCCUGACUUUAAUUGCAGGUGGACUUUACCUGGACUCCUACGGGAACUGGGUCUCGUCCCCAACUCUGGCUGCAAGAAGACUUCACCCGGACUCCUACGGGAGCCGAAUCUCGUCUCUGACUCCGGCCACGGGAAGACUCCGCCUAAGCCCC
This 251-nucleotide long non-coding RNA is filed under the name Elaeis guineensis (African oil palm). RNAcentral's name for it is "long non-coding RNA (EGUI_LNC064055)". Lineage: Eukaryota; Viridiplantae; Streptophyta; Magnoliopsida; Arecales; Arecaceae. The record is from RNAcentral.